Molecule: ribosomal RNA, 422 nt
Filed under: uncultured bacterium
Lineage: Bacteria
Description: bacterial SSU rRNA
Rfam family: Bacterial small subunit ribosomal RNA
Source: RNAcentral
UAAGGAAUAUUGGACAAUGGUCGCAAGACUGAUCCAGCCAUGCCGCGUGCAGGAAGACGGCCCUAUGGGCUGUAGACUGCUUUUGUACCAGAGAAAACCUAUCUACGUGUAGAUAGCUGAUAGUAUGGUAAGAAUAAGCAUCGGCUAACUUCGUGCCAGCAGCCGCGGUAAGACGAAGGAUGCAAGCGUUAUCCGGAUUCAUUGGGUUUAAAGGGUGCGUAGGCGGGCUUGUAAGUCAGUGGUGAAAUCUCUCAGCUUAACUGUAGAACUGCCUUUGAUACUUUUAUUCUUGAGUUCGGGAGAGAGAGACGGAAUUCCAGGUGUAGUGGUGAAAUACGUAGAUAUCUGGAAGAACACCAGUUGCGAAGGCGGUCUCUUGGUCCGACACUGACGCUGAGGCGCGAAAGCGUGGGGAGCAAACA